UACGUAGGGUGCAAGCGUUAUCCGGAAUUAUUGGGCGUAAAGAGCUCGUAGGCGGUUUGUCGCGUCUGCUGUGAAAACUGGAGGCUCAACCUCCAGCCUGCAGUGGGUACGGGCAGACUAGAGUGCGGUAGGGGAGAUUGGAAUUCCUGGUGUAGCGGUGGAAUGCGCAGAUAUCAGGAGGAACACCGAUGGCGAAGGCAGAUCUCUGGGCCGUAACUGACGCUGAGGAGCGAAAGCAUGGGGAGCGAACGG
RNAcentral lists this ribosomal RNA (252 nucleotides) under uncultured bacterium. RNAcentral describes it as "partial 16S ribosomal RNA". It matches the Rfam family "Bacterial small subunit ribosomal RNA", at positions 524 to 775 of the family's 1533-position model. The record is from RNAcentral.